Molecule: long non-coding RNA, 294 nt
Filed under: Felis catus (domestic cat)
Lineage: Eukaryota; Metazoa; Chordata; Mammalia; Carnivora; Felidae
Description: lncRNA (ENSFCAG00000053213.1)
Source: RNAcentral
AUGAAUAAAAAGAUGGCUGCUUCCAGGAGAGACAGAGCAGAGCAGGGAUCCGGACCACGUCUCCCAGGGGACUUCCUGUGGCGGCAAGAUGACAGGUGUAACCUCAGAGAACCCUCUGUACUCCCUUCCUUCUCACUGCCCCCCCUUUCUACUCCGAGAGUGCAUUUGUCACAGGACCUGAACACAUCCUUAGCUGCUAAUGUGAAAACAUAUUCUCUUCUUGCCGGGGCUCAAAGCCUGCACUUUGCACCUCCGCAUGCACUUGGGGAACUCCAGGUGCUUUCACACAGGUGA